GUGAGAGUAAGUAGGAGGUGAAGUAUCCAAAUGAGAUUUGAGACUAUAAAUUCUAAAGUGAGUGUGAUAGCUAGGUCAGAACAGGAAAAAUCUUAAAAUUGGUGAAGCGGCGCAUCUGAGAGACGAAAGUUGAACUUUGGGAAGGGAGCUGUAAGAGCAACAAGGUUUUGUGAAAAAGCUUCGAUUAAGAAUUGCAUGGUGGAAUCGAAAAUUCGAAAAAAUUAUGGAAAUUGAAAAGUCUGAACAUCGCAGAAAUUGAAAAGUCAGAAAAUGGCAGAAAUCGAGAAAUUGCAAAAAUCAGCGACAAUCAAAGGUUGGCCGGUGGCAGGAGAACGUCUGGCGAUUGACAACCGUUCAGGCGACCUGGGAAAUUUUGGGCGUUUUUCGAUAGUUUUGUCAUUUUUCGAGUUCUAAGGUCUUUUCUUUGACAUUUGUGUAAUACCGAAGAUGAAUUAUAUUAUUUUGGGUUUACGUUA
Long non-coding RNA from Lathyrus oleraceus (garden pea), 476 nucleotides. RefSeq lists it as uncharacterized. The record is from RefSeq and is a predicted model, not a curated record. Lineage: Eukaryota; Viridiplantae; Streptophyta; Magnoliopsida; Fabales; Fabaceae. The transcript has 2 exons.